GUUCGCGCGGCUCCUGGUGGGGAUGGAAAAACAACUUUGGCGCCCCCCGGGGGGUGCGGGCGUGGAGGUGGAGGUGGCUGCCAGCGCCCAGCUGUCAAAGGCAGAAACCCCGAGGAAAGGGCGCGAACUUUAUCCCGACUGCAGCAAACCGCGGCGUCGCUUUCCUUUUCGGGCGCUUGCCGGUCUGUGUCCCCUUUGACCAGUUCCUCCUCCCGCACCGCCGCCGCCGCCCCCUCCUCCUUUCCCCCUUCCCCUUUUUCUCUUCCGCCGCGGCGGCCCCGGCGCCCCCUCGCCCCCGCCAACCCAGGUCCUCCGCGCGCCGCCUGACAGAAGGAUGUGAGACCUUGGCACCUGAAACAGCUGCAGCUCUCUUGUGACCAGGAGGGAGUGCACACACCAGGGAUGACAAGAUGUCAAUUACUGUUGGAAGUAAGAAGGAAAGGAGGAAGGUAGGGAGGAAAGAAGGAGAUAAAUAUGGAAACAAAAAAAAGAAAAAGAUCUAGUAUUUGGGAGUAUGCUUGAGAAAACAGAGCUUCAGGAAAAGCUGAGAAUGACCUCUCUUUGGCUGACUCACUGUGACUUUAAAGUUAUAUGUCUUUACAGAACAUGGCUUUUCUGCUGUUGGAACAGGAAGACCAAACAGCUCCCUGAAUCACGUUACCUGCUCCGUAUCCACUGUACCAGUUCUCUAAACUGGCUGAGUAUCGGGAACACCUGGGAAGCUGUUUGUACAAUAGGACUGAAGCCUGCUUUUGUUCUUCCAAAUGCUGCUGAAGUGAAGCUCUACCCAGGACUGACCAUAUAGAAACUGACUUCUCCAGUGCUGACAUCCUCACUUAUGUCCUGCCUACUGGACCAGAAACUGUUGAAUGUUGGUGUAAAUUAAGAUUAAACCAGGAUUUUUUGGCAAAAAUUGACAAGUUGCUUCUAAAAUUUAUAUGGAAUUGCAAGGGACCCAGAUUAGCCAAAACAAUUUUAAAAGCAACUAAUAAAACUGGAAGACUCACACUUCUUGAUUUCAAAAUUUGCUAUAAAGCUGUAGUUAUUAAGACAGUGUGGUAUUGGCAUAAGGAUAAACAAUGAAAUAGAAUGAAACAGAAUUGAGAGUCUAGAAAAAACUUACAUUUAUGGAAUUGAUUUUUGGUGAGAGUGCCAAGACAAUUCAAUGGAGAAAGAGUAGUCUUUUCAACAAAUAGUAUUGGGACAGCAGGAUAUCCAUAUACAAAUGAAUGAAGUUGAACUCUUACCUCACACUUACAAAAAAUUGGUUCAAAGUGAAUCAAAGACAUAAAUGUAAGAGCUCAAACUAUGAAAUUAUUAAUAGAAAAUAUAGACAUAAACCUUUGUGAUCUUAGAUUUAGGCAAUGGUUUCUUAGAUAUGACACCAAAAGUACAAAUGAUAAGAGAAAAAAAUUUUACAAAUUGUACUUCAUCAAAAUUAAAACCUUUGUGUUUCAAAGGACACCAUCAAAAAGUGAAAAGACCAAAAAAAAGUGAAAAGAAAAGUCACAGAAGGGAGGAAAAUAUUUAUAAAUCACAUAUCUACUAAAGGAAUUAUGUCUAGAAUAUAUGAAGAACUCUUACAGCUCAACAGUUAAAACAAAAAUAACCCAGACAAGAAAUGGGCAAAAGAAUAGACAUUUCUUCAAAGAAGAUAUACAAAUGGCCAAUAAACAUGAAAUCAUACACAAAAUCAUUUGUCAUCAGAGAAAUGCAAAUUAAAACACAAUAAGAUACAAUUUCACACCAACUAGGAUGUCUAUAAUAAAAAAGGAAACAGCAGAUGUUGGGGAGGAUAUGGAGAAUUUGCAACAAUCAUUAAAUUUCUGGUACAUUUCUAAAAUGGGGCAGCCAUUUUAGAAGACAUUUUGGCGCUUCCUCAAAAUGUUAAACAUAGAUUUACCAUAAGACACAGCCUUUGUAUGCCUACAUAUAUACCCAAGAGAAUUGAAAACUAAGUCUACAUAAAAACUUGUACAUGAAUAUUCAUGGCAUCAUUAUUAAUAAUAGCUCAAAAAUGGAAACAACCCAAAUGUGCACCAGCUACAGAAUGGAUAAACAAAAUGUUGUAAAUUCAUGAAAUGAAAUAUUAUUCAGCAAUAAAAAGGAAUGAAGUAUUGAUACAUGCUGCAACAUGAAUGGACCUUGAAAGCAUUAUGCUUAGUGAAAGAAGCGAGUCACAAAACGCAACAUACUGUAUGAUCCCAUUUGUAUGAAUUGUUCAGAAUGAGCAAGUAGAUAGAGACACAAAUUAGAUUAGUGAUUGCUAAGGGCUGGUGGGAGAGGGAAAUGGGGUGUGACUGCUAAUUGAUCUGAGGUUUCUUUUUAGGGUGAUGAAAAUGUUCUGGAAUUAAAUAUUGGUGAUGUUUACACAAUUCUAUGAAUAUACUAAAACCUACUGAAUUGCAUACAUAAAAGGCUGAAUUUUAUAUGUGAAUUAUAUGUCAAUAAAGCUAUUAACAAAGAAAAAAAGAUUACGCUGAGAUUUCCUUUUAUUCUUUGGGGCACUCAGAUUUGUACUUCCAUAAGAGUUAGUUCUGAAAUUGCGUUCAUUCACUAUAC
Molecule: long non-coding RNA, 2562 nt
Organism: Neofelis nebulosa (Clouded leopard)
Lineage: Eukaryota; Metazoa; Chordata; Mammalia; Carnivora; Felidae
Exons: 6
Source: RefSeq, a predicted model, not a curated record